UACGAAGGGGGCUAGCGUUGUUCGGAAUCACUGGGCGUAAAGCGCACGCAGGCGGGUCGUUAAGUCAGGGGUGAAAUCCCGAGGCUCAACCUCGGAACUGCCCUUGAUACUGGCGAUCUUUGAGUCCGGGAGAGGUGAGUGGAACUCCGAGUGUAGAGGUGAAAUUCGUAGAUAUUCGGAAGAACACCAGUGGCGAAGGCGGCUCACUGGUCCGGUACUGACGCUGAGGUGCGAAAGCGUGGGGAGCAAACAGG
This 254-nucleotide ribosomal RNA is filed under the name uncultured bacterium. RNAcentral's name for it is "partial 16S ribosomal RNA". It matches the Rfam family "Bacterial small subunit ribosomal RNA", at positions 524 to 776 of the family's 1533-position model. The record is from RNAcentral.